Molecule: long non-coding RNA, 2490 nt
Organism: Populus nigra (black poplar)
Lineage: Eukaryota; Viridiplantae; Streptophyta; Magnoliopsida; Malpighiales; Salicaceae
Exons: 2
Source: RefSeq, a predicted model, not a curated record
CAUUCCAAAAAUCAACCCAGCACAAAGGUGAGGUGCUUAAUCAAACUUUUUUAAAAAAAAAAGUUAAAAUAUUAUCAUUUUAACUUGAAAGUUCAAGCUACCAUCUCAUAUUUGAAAUUUCGAGUGAGGGUAAAAAUCGAAAGAACAUGAGGAGUGCCACUUUCCACCAUUUAACAGGAAAAAGAAAAGGAGGAAAAAGUUACCCAGUGAUUUAUGGUGCGUAAACAAAGCUUAUUCUUUGCAGAUGAUUCCUUCCUUGUUGGCUUUUUAUAAUUUAGCUUUAUUUCAACUUGACGAUGCUCGUGAACCAUGAGAUAGCUCAGACAUCACCACUUUCGGAAGUAUAUCGCAGACAAAAUGAGCGCAUGACACUCAUUUGGAAUGAUCGAAAACAACUUAAUCUACUAGCAUCUAGCUAGCUACCGCACACUGUGGCACUGACUGGGACACACUUUCAUACUGAAAUAAAUUUUUGACUGGUAUAAAGGCACUUACUACAAGGACACCAUGCUGUAUCAAGACUGGCUGUCUCUUUGUGUCACCACCACCAGCACGGCCUUCUGGUAUUCUCUGCAUGUUAAGUAUAAAUCCAUCUUGAGUUUUGACCUGAAAACACCCACAUGAUUCCCAUAUUAGCACACUUUCAUUUGCAUAACAUAUUAACACGCUUGACCAUAUAAAUAGUUAAACUAAAGUUUGAGCUCUUACAUCAAUCUCCUGGCAUUUGUACCCAUGAAUUAUCACCGAAGUGGAGCAUAUACCAACUGUUGGUGGAUCUAUGAAACCACUGACUAGGCCCACAGAACCACGGCCGGAGCCAUAUGCUUGAUGGGCUAUAGCCAUGAUCAUGUUUACUAGGACACAAAAGGCAUGGAGAGCCAUAACUUAGAUGCCUUUGAUUGGUGGCUAUGUGAUGCGUGAGAGUGGAGAGUGUUGGAAGGAAACUUGGCUCUAUAUAAAAGAGAAGAAAAGGAGGCACUCCAAAAUGGGAAAAGGGGUUUCAUUUCAUGGGCCUAACUGACUGGUGAGAUUUUUGGCAUAAAGUUAGGUCUUUUUUCACGUUAUAUAUAUCCCAUGACGAGGGAGUAGAUGUUGUGGGACACUUCAAGGUUUUUUUUCUCCUUCUUAUCAUGAACAAACUUUGAUAUCCUGAUUCAUCGACUAUUUAUAUGCAAUAAAACACAAUUAAUCCUAAAGAUCAUAUCUCCACCGCCCUGUGAAAGCAAAAGAGGUUUUGAGGGCAUUUUGUUUUACUUUACUUAUAUAACCAAAAAAUAUUCUAGGGUCCCACGUAGAGAUAUGUGAGCUCAUGGGGUUUUCUGCAUUCUGAAAGAGCCAAAUCGUAAAUUUAGAAGUUGUUUUGAUGUAGUGUGGAAGGCGGGAAUUUCAUAAGCUUUGAUCAUGAUCAAAAGUGAAGAGUGCAUAGCAUACAUGUGAACUACUCCAUGUCAUUUUCAGUUGUGUGUUUGGUUAUCUGUUCAUGUAUUAAAACCAUUUGUUGUUCUUACAGGCUGACAAGUAAACAUGUUUUUUUGCAAUAGAUUUGUAUAAAUAGAAAUAAUUUUAAAAGCAAAAUGAAAGAAUUUAAGCUUAACAAUCAGUUAAAUUCAAGUUAGUGUGUAUCCGACAAAUAUACCAACAUAUUAGAUCCAAAACAUUUGAGAUCAGUUAAAUUCAAGAAUUUGAUCUAUAUACUCCAAAGCUAAAAUCUAUACUGCACAAAUGUAUACUUCCCCGAUCUAUCCUCAGUGGUUAGGAGCAUAUAGCAGGAAAUGGAUAGGGAUACAAGAUACAGAAAUUGAUAUUGAUGCCAUUUCAAGCACCCAAAUGCAUAAAAUACAUCAGUAACAGGGCUUCUUCUCCAUAGUGUCAAUGUCAUGUGCCAUGACAUUUCUGCAAAUUAGAAGUACAUCGGAAAACCAACCAACACAGUACCACACCACCUCGAGGUAGAAGAAGAAAUGAUGGCGGUGGAGGGCCUAGCUGCUAUGGUCAAUCGUGUGGCUUGUUCCGUUCUCGUCCCGGGUUCGACCCUCUAUGUGCACGCCUGUCACCCCCGCAGUGCCUAACCUGCCCCUGGGCUUGCAGGAUGUCCAGUGGGCCGUGGGGAAUAGUCGUGGUGCGCGCAAGCUGGCCCGGACACCCCACGUAAAUAAAAAAAAAAAAGAAAAAAGAAAAAAAAAAGAAAUGAUGGCGGUGUCCAGUAAGGGAAAAAGGGGUCCUGAGGGAAAGAUGGAAACAGAUCAUGUGCAAAAGACGAGCCCCUGCUGUCUCUGCUAUCAUUUCACAUGGAAAGUUGGGCUCACCAGGCUAUCGAUAUUAUUCCAUUCUGAAAGUUGGGCUUUGACUAUUUGUGUGUUUCACACUGCUGUCCAAUACAUUGUGACUUUCCGAUGGUCCUCUAUUGUUUACAGGUUAAUGUCUAGGAGAUCCAGAUAUAAUAAGAUAUGGAUGCGGUAAUACUCAAUUCAUUGAGUAGUUUAUAAUUUA